CUACAAUGGCGUAAACAAAGGGAAGCGAAGUGGCGACAUGGAGCAAAUCCCAAAAAUAACGUCCCAGUUCGGAUUGUAGUCUGCAACCCGACUACAUGAAGCCGGAAUCGCUAGUAAUCGCGGAUCAGAAUGCCGCGGUGAAUACGUUCCCGGGUCUUGUACACACCGCCCGUCACACCAUGGGAGUUGGAAAUGCCCGAAGUCAGUGGCCCAACCGGAAGGGGGGAGCUGCCGAAGGCAGGUUCGAUGACUGGGGUGAAGUCGUAACAAGGUAAC
RNAcentral lists this ribosomal RNA (276 nucleotides) under uncultured bacterium. Its description in RNAcentral is "partial 16S ribosomal RNA". It matches the Rfam family "Bacterial small subunit ribosomal RNA", at positions 1225 to 1500 of the family's 1533-position model. The record is from RNAcentral.